Molecule: ribosomal RNA, 245 nt
Filed under: uncultured Paludibacter sp.
Lineage: Bacteria; Pseudomonadati; Bacteroidota; Bacteroidia; Bacteroidales; Paludibacteraceae
Description: partial 16S ribosomal RNA
Rfam family: Bacterial small subunit ribosomal RNA
Source: RNAcentral
UACGGAGGAUCCAAGCGUUAUCCGGAUUUAUUGGGUUUAAAGGGUGCGUAGGCGGGAGAUUAAGUCAGUGGUGAAAGUUUGCAGCUUAACUGUAAAAUUGCCAUUGAAACUGAUUUUCUUGAGUGCAAAUGAGGUAGGCGGAAUGUGUUGUGUAGCGGUGAAAUGCUUAGAUAUAACACAGAACCCCGAUUGCGAAGGCAGCUUACUGGGAUGCAACUGACGCUGAUGCACGAAAGCGUGGGGAU